UGGUGUUAAUUGAAUAUUUCACCAACGGGAACACUGAAAUUUUUCCACUACAUAGUGUGCCAAGUUUCAGAAAUUUGAGCCUAUCACUUUCCAAUAUUUAACAUUCGAUUCCUCAAACAAAAAUACGGAAAUUAAGUCGAGCGAUCUCACGCACGCUAGUAUGUAAAAAAAAUCAGUGUGCAAAAUUUGCUUGAGAGUUGCUGACCGGUGCUCUCGACUGUUCAUAUCUUCUGUCCAAAUGUACACAAAAAAAGGAAGAGAGAAAGCGUCAAAAAAAAAACAGACUCAAGAAUUUAGCAAAGAGGAUAUUCCAUGAACUCUUCAAUUGAAUAUGGCUCCAUUUUCACAAUAAGUAUGACAAAAUGACGAAAUUUUUAGGCAGUAUAAUAUUAUGCACUUUGUGUAUUUUCAGUUAGUGCUAAGGAAUGCCUCGGAAAGUGGUAUGGAGUGCAUAAGUAGAAAAAAAAGCCUAAUUAUUGGUGAUUCUAUUCAUUAGAUACUAAAAACUCCUGUCUGCUCGACUAGUUUCGAUGACUUUUCAUCAUCAUUUUCAAGAGCUGAGACCUAGACAGCUGCAACAAGAGAAGGCAACAUCAAACGAAUAGGUAUCAACAACUCACGGUGCAGCAGUCCAGAACAAUUCUCCAAUUGUGCCAAAUUGACCAAGGCGCAUUCUUCAAAACAAUUUCUCGAACUCAAAAUGCAAAUGAAAUAAAACAAAACCCGAAACGUCAAAUAACAUCGUACGGAUCAACACGCAUGAGAAACACAUUUUUUAAAAGAACUUCUUAAAAUAAAACGGUCAAGGUCAAGCUCAUCAAUCCGCUCAGUGGUGGCACGGUAAACGAAACAAAAGAGGUGAACGAACGAUACAAGCAUGCAUGUCAAAAAUAAAUGGAAAUAAAUAUGAAUGAACCAAAACAAUAUAAAAUACUUUAAAAAGUUUUAAAAAUAUUAAAAAAAUAUCACAAAAGGAUCACAAAUAGGAGGGGAGAGAACAAGGCGGAAAAUGAAAGUCACUCUUCAAGCUCAGUGGAUGCUUUGUCCUCCAAUGCAGGCGUCUCCGAAAAUAUAUCGAAUAGACGUGGGAAAACGUUUGUUGACGAAGCGUUGAGUGUAUUCAAUGAAUUAUCAUUGAUGUGGCAAUAUAAAACAAUUUCUUCCACCACAGAUUGUCUUAGGCCGAAUUUAGAGGGAUGUAAGAUCCUAACAGAAUUAAGGUCAAAAUUAUGUUUGGAGAAUCUCAAGUGUCUACCAAACACAGAUUUAUCACACCUCUAAUUUUUCUGACUACCAAGGUGUUCAGAGAUAGGCUGCUGUAGAUUGCGUACUGUUCUACCAAUGUACACUCUGGAUCCCCGCAUCUCAAUUUGUAUACACCACUCUGUUGUAAUCUUAUCUUUGUUGUGGACAAAAAUGUCAUGCAAGGUAUUGGAAGAUCUGUAAGCUAUUAUGAUACCAUGUUCGUGGAAUAGAUUGCCAACCUUGGUAGAAAUGGGGCCUUUAUAUGAAAGUUUCAUAUACUUAAAAACAGGAACUGUCCAUUGCAGUUCCGAGGCGUCGAAAUUGAGACGCCUCAUUUCGUCCCGAUUUCCAACCGUUUGAAUUAGAAGUUAUAUGUUAGAUUCGCCGAGCAUAGAGUUGGGAUUCCAUAACCG
This is a long non-coding RNA of Coccinella septempunctata (seven-spotted ladybird), 1658 nucleotides long. RefSeq lists it as uncharacterized. The transcript has 3 exons. Lineage: Eukaryota; Metazoa; Arthropoda; Insecta; Coleoptera; Coccinellidae. The record is from RefSeq and is a predicted model, not a curated record.